RNAcentral lists this ribosomal RNA (633 nucleotides) under uncultured bacterium. RNAcentral describes it as "bacterial SSU rRNA". It matches the Rfam family "Bacterial small subunit ribosomal RNA", at positions 202 to 835 of the family's 1533-position model. The record is from RNAcentral.
GAAAGUUCCGGCGGUUUAAGAUGGACAUGCGUUGUAUUAGUUAGUUGGUGAGGUAACGGCUCACCAAGGCGACGAUACAUAGGGGGACUGAGAGGUUAACCCCCCACAUUGGUACUGAGACACGGACCAAACUCCUACGGGAGGCAGCAGUGAGGAAUAUUGGUCAAUGGACGCAAGUCUGAACCAGCCAUGCCGCGUGCAGGAUGACGGCUCUAUGAGUUGUAAACUGCUUUUGUACGAGGGUAAUAUCAGAUACGUGUAUCUGCUUGAAAGUAUCGUACGAAUAAGGAUCGGCUAACUCCGUGCCAGCAGCCGCGGUAAUACGGAGGAUCCAAGCGUUAUCCGGAUUUAUUGGGUUUAAAGGGUGCGUAGGCGGUUUUAUAAGUUAGAGGUGAAAAUUCGGGGCUCAACUCCGGACGUGCCUCUAAUACUGUAUGACUAGAGAAUAGAUGCGGUAGGCGGAAUGUAUGGUGUAGCGGUGAAAUGCGUAGAGAUCAUACAGAACACCGAUUGCGAAGGCAGCUUACCAAACUAUGUCUGACGUUGAGGCACGAAAGCGUGGGGAGCAAACAGGAUUAGAUACCCUGGUAGUCCACGCAGUAAACGAUGAUAGCUCGUUGUCGGCGAUACAUU